CGACUUUCGAACGCAUAUUGCAGCCAUUGGAUAGCCGAUGGCUUCGUUUGUCUGAGCGUCGUUAUCAAAUUAUGACCAAACAAAAUGGGAUAGAUCUGUUUCGUCGUGUAAACGUCGUCAGGUCAUUUCCAAACAUUUGAUAUGCUGACUUUUGUGGUGAAGAAGGCUUUGUAGCACAUUCACUCACAAGAGGUAUUUAGCGUUUCCAGCUAAACACCUUGAAUGUGUGCCUUGUGUAACCAAAGUGUAGUCGCAAAUCAUUGUCCAAUAAAAGUCUAAUUUCGACCUCAGAUCAAGCGAGAUUACCCCCUGAAUUUAAGC
RNAcentral lists this ribosomal RNA (321 nucleotides) under Dermatophagoides pteronyssinus (European house dust mite). RNAcentral's name for it is "eukaryotic LSU rRNA". The record is from RNAcentral. Lineage: Eukaryota; Metazoa; Arthropoda; Arachnida; Sarcoptiformes; Pyroglyphidae.